GGCGGAAUAGUUCAGUUGGUUAGAACAGCAGAAUCAUAAUCUGGAGGUCGGGGGUUCAAGUCCCUCUUCCGCUA
Molecule: transfer RNA, 74 nt
Filed under: Chloropicon mariensis
Lineage: Eukaryota; Viridiplantae; Chlorophyta; Chloropicophyceae; Chloropicales; Chloropicaceae
Description: tRNA-Met
Rfam family: tRNA
About the family: Transfer RNA (tRNA) molecules are approximately 80 nucleotides in length.
Source: RNAcentral